Molecule: ribosomal RNA, 253 nt
Filed under: uncultured bacterium
Lineage: Bacteria
Description: partial 16S ribosomal RNA
Rfam family: Bacterial small subunit ribosomal RNA
Source: RNAcentral
UACGUAGGGUGCGAGCGUUGUCCGGAAUUAUUGGGCGUAAAGAGCUUGUAGGCGGUUUGUCGCGUCUGCUGUGAAAAUUCGAGGCUCAACCUCGAACUUGCGGUGGGUACGGGCAGACUAGAGUGUGGUAGGGGAGACUGGAAUUCCUGGUGUAGCGGUGAAAUGCGCAGAUAUCAGGAGGAACACCGAUGGCGAAGGCAGGUCUCUGGGCCACUACUGACGCUGAGAAGCGAAAGCAUGGGGAGCGAACAGG